Molecule: ribosomal RNA, 497 nt
Filed under: uncultured bacterium
Lineage: Bacteria
Description: partial 16S ribosomal RNA
Rfam family: Bacterial small subunit ribosomal RNA
Source: RNAcentral
GAUGAACGCUGGCGGCGUGCCUAAUACAUGCAAGUCGAGCGAACGGACGAGAAGCUUGCUUUUCUGAUGUUAGCGGCGGACGGGUGAGUAACACGUGGAUAACCUACCUAUAAGACUGGGAUAACUUCGGGAAACCGGAGCUAAUACCGGAUAAUAUUUUGAACAGCAUGGUUCAAAAGUGAAAGACGGUCUUGCUAUCACUUAUAGAUGGAUCCGCGCUGCAUUGGCUAGUUGGUAAGGUAACGGCUUACCAAGGCAACGAUGCAUAGCCGACCUGAGAGGGUGAUCGGCCACACUGGAACUGAGACACGGUCCAGACUCCUACGGGAGGCAGCAGUAGGGAAUCGUCCGCAAUGGGCGAAAGCCUGACGGAGCAACGCCGCGUGAGUGAUGAAGGUCUUCGGAUCGUAAAACUCUGUUAUUAGGGAAGAACAUAUGUGUAAGUAACUAUGCACAUCUUGACGGUACCUAAUCAGAAAGCCACGGCUAACUACGUG